This 19-nucleotide non-coding RNA is filed under the name Arabidopsis thaliana (thale cress). Lineage: Eukaryota; Viridiplantae; Streptophyta; Magnoliopsida; Brassicales; Brassicaceae. The record is from RNAcentral.
UGCAGAUUAUUUGUGCCAC